GAUGAAGAACGCAGCGAAAUGCGAUAAGUAAUGUGAAUUGCAGAAUUCAGUGAAUCAUCGAAUCUUUGAACGCACAUUGCGCCCCUUGGUAUUCCGAGGGGCAUGCCUGUUCGAGCGUCAUUAUAACCCCUCAAGCUCAGCUUGGUGUUGGGGCCUGCUGCACUGGCAGCCCUUAAAAUCAGUGGCGGCGCCAUCUGGCUCUAAGCGUAGUAAAUCUCCUCGCUAUAGGGUUCCGGAGGGAUGCUGGCCAACAACCCCCAACUUUUAAGGUUGACCUCGGAUCAGGUAGGGAUACCCGCUGAACUUAAGCAUAUCAAUAAGCGGAGGA
This 328-nucleotide unclassified non-coding RNA is filed under the name soil metagenome. RNAcentral's name for it is "partial contains 5.8S ribosomal RNA, internal transcribed spacer 2, and large subunit ribosomal RNA". The stretch from base 1 to 120 matches the Rfam family "5.8S ribosomal RNA", at positions 35 to 154 of the family's 154-position model. The record is from RNAcentral.